Molecule: long non-coding RNA, 710 nt
Filed under: Sus scrofa (pig)
Lineage: Eukaryota; Metazoa; Chordata; Mammalia; Artiodactyla; Suidae
Description: lncRNA (ENSSSCG00070009566.1)
Source: RNAcentral
GCGGAGCCCAAAGUCGCUGGAGUUUUGCUCCCGGGACGGGACGUCCGAGAGGUGAGAGGCUGACGUUGGGGUGACGCGCCAACUUAAUCACACCUGACGUCACGUCUGGUCGUCUUGGCUCACCGGUCGCGAUUGGCCAGGCUCGUUUGGGGGAUCCCCUGCUAAUUGGGUGCCCAGGUUGCCUGGUCCUGUUACCUGGAGUCGGAGCUCCGCCCCUUGGGGGGAGAGUAGUGGAGAGUCGGGAGUGUGGGGGGAAUAUUUCCUGCGCUGGUGGUCCUUGGAGAAGAGGAUCCCCACCCAAAAUAAGUGGCCAAGUAAGCCUAUGAGAAUUGUUUCUAGAAUGCAGCAGACCAUGAGCUUGGCAGUUCCAAGUGCACUGAAGCAAUGAGAGGUAAGAUGAAGCUUGGGGGCAAAAACAACACUGGUCAUUAGACGGAAAUACAACAUUCCUUGUCCUAGUGUCCUCCGAUCAUUCUGAAGUGUGCCUUGCAUGACAAAGGUCAAAUGCAAAUUUUGGGAAAUCAUUUUACUUAAAGGAGCUAUGAUGAAAAAUAAGAAUGCAAUACAUCCACUAUAUCUCCAGGAUUUAGUGUAGAAAUUGAUAAAUAUUAAUUGAUAAUGAUGAAGUAAGAUGUUUUUCAUCAUCAAGUUUAGAGGACUUGCUAAUUGCUUUAUCUGUGCAUCAGAGAGCUUUAACUUCACUCAUAAAC